UGGUACAUUUUUUUUUAGCUUAAACAUUCAUCAUGUUGUGAGACCUUCCAUUGAUUACCCAUUUACGGCGACUUCAGUCAAAUAAAAACAUGAUACUGUGUCGUUAUCUGCCUUAUACGUUGGACCUGGCACCAGGUGACUUCUGUCUCUUUCCUCAAUGUCAGAAUGACCAUGGAAAGGAAACUGUUGAAUCAGUUCAGGACAUCGAGUUACCAGGACAGGGCAACUAAAGACACUCAGGAAAGAGGUCUCCAGAGCUGCUGCAGAAAGUGGCCAGGAACAUGGGAUAAGUGUGUUGGAAGCAAAGGGGAGGGCUUGAGGGGAAAUCAUGGUUAUGUGUCUCUUACUGUAAUAACUUCUUAAAAAACUUAAAUAAUAUUUGCGUUUUUUGAUCACACUCUGCACCUGAAAUUCACUUGAUAGCAACUUGGAGGGAAGCUGAACAAUGAAUCCAUUCUUUCAACAAGUACCUGCAGGGCAGCUGGUGCCCAGCCCUGGGGUCAAGUCUUGGAGACGCAACUCUGCAGUGUGGGGUGCCGUGCUUACUCCCCAGCCCUUCCUGACGACAGACAUGGCCGUCACAGUGGAGCUGACACAGAGCCUCCUCCCAACCCGCCCGUCGCCCGCAGGGAGCCCGCAGGGGAGGCGCCCAGGGUGCUGCAGGUACAGAGGGCAGAGGCUCCCGGGGCUUGGCACACUGCCCGGUUCCCGCCGGGACGGCCCACGUCACAUCCCACAGCGCUGAGGCGAGCGCUGCUUUCCUCACUGGCCGGACAAGAGAGGGUUCUGUCUGAUUUUUGGAUUUGGGCCAGCGUGGUCGGUGAGAAACAGCUCCUCGGCCCAACUUGCGUUUCCUUCUCUCUAAGCAAGGCCGGGCGUCUUUCCGUGUCGGUUCAGAGCGCUGGCCUUUUGGAUCUCAGAAGCUCGCGGUUUAUAGUGGAAAUACUAGUACAUUUUAUACUCAAUAUAUAAAUAUUGUCUGAGAUG
This is a long non-coding RNA of Chinchilla lanigera (long-tailed chinchilla), 987 nucleotides long. RefSeq lists it as uncharacterized. Lineage: Eukaryota; Metazoa; Chordata; Mammalia; Rodentia; Chinchillidae. The transcript has 2 exons. The record is from RefSeq and is a predicted model, not a curated record.